Small nucleolar RNA from Cynoglossus semilaevis (tongue sole), 133 nucleotides. Lineage: Eukaryota; Metazoa; Chordata; Actinopteri; Pleuronectiformes; Cynoglossidae. The record is from Ensembl.
CAGCACUGUUCGUAACCUGGUUCAAUCACUAGUGUGAACUCUGGUUCCAUUCCAGUGCUAGAGUAAUCUCCAGUGAGGCAGGGGAGCAAGACCGCAUCUGUCCCUGCUCCCUGUUCACUCUCUGGAAACAGUG